GCCGGCAGCUAGCUCUCUGCAACUCUCACAUGGUCGCCCACUGAAGCUAAGCAGGGCUGCGCCCGGUCAGUAUCUGGAUGGGAGACCACUUGGGAAAGCUAGGUUGCUGCCGGAA
RNAcentral lists this ribosomal RNA (115 nucleotides) under Danio rerio (zebrafish). Lineage: Eukaryota; Metazoa; Chordata; Actinopteri; Cypriniformes; Danionidae. The record is from RNAcentral.